GUUAAUAAGAAACGUAUUUGAAGAUGAUGCAGCACUAUAGAUAUGGAAGAAAACAAGUUUUAUGUGAAUGGAGCCCAUUAAAAUGUCACUUGAAAGACACUUCAGUGGGACAAGACCAAAUGCAAUGGAAUCUGUAAGUGGAAAGUGGGGAGAGACAGAAAACUGGAUGAUAAAAUAUAACUGGACACAAGAUUCUACAACAUGAAGAUUCUAAUGAGAUAAUGGUCAACAUUAUCAGAUAUAAAGAGUAUUCUGGGCUGCACUAGGAGAAAUCUUGUCAGAAGAUUGAGGGAGUUGAUCCUUCCUCUCUGUUGAGAACUGGUGAGAGGC
This is a long non-coding RNA of Neopelma chrysocephalum (saffron-crested tyrant-manakin), 330 nucleotides long. RefSeq lists it as uncharacterized. The transcript is spliced from 4 exons. The record is from RefSeq and is a predicted model, not a curated record. NCBI's taxonomy places the organism in Eukaryota, Metazoa, Chordata, Aves, Passeriformes, Pipridae.